This 234-nucleotide long non-coding RNA is filed under the name Elaeis guineensis (African oil palm). Its description in RNAcentral is "long non-coding RNA (EGUI_LNC039970)". The record is from RNAcentral. Lineage: Eukaryota; Viridiplantae; Streptophyta; Magnoliopsida; Arecales; Arecaceae.
UGCCGGCUUUAAUUAAAUCUUUUUUAAUCUGACUUGGUGAAGUCAGUGGGAGGAUUGAAAUUGGCUGGAUAAUUCUUCUCUUCUAUCCUUUAAUAAAAAUUCUCAAAAAUUAUUAGGUCCCUAAAAUGAUUAAGUUAUAGUGAUAACUAAGUCAUAGCCUCCCAUUAAGUGAGUGAUAAUGAGUCUAUUAGUUUAAUAAUCAUUGGAGGCCUAAAGGCCUGGUGCUUAUUGACU